This 255-nucleotide ribosomal RNA is filed under the name uncultured bacterium. RNAcentral describes it as "partial 16S ribosomal RNA". It matches the Rfam family "Bacterial small subunit ribosomal RNA", at positions 524 to 777 of the family's 1533-position model. The record is from RNAcentral.
UACGGGGGGGGGCAAGCGUUGUUCGGAAUUACUGGGCGUAAAGCGCGCGUAGGCGGAUCUGCAAGUCGGGGGUGAAAUCCCGAGGCUCAACCUCGGAACUGCCUUCGAUACUGCGGGUCUCGAGUCCGGGAGAGGUGAGUGGAAUUCCUAGUGUAGAGGUGAAAUUCGUAGAUAUUAGGAAGAACACCAGUGGCGAAGGCGGCUCACUGGCCCGGUACUGACGCUGAGGCGCGAAAGCGUGGGGAGCAAACAGGG